Long non-coding RNA from Chelonoidis abingdonii (Abingdon island giant tortoise), 1483 nucleotides. RefSeq lists it as uncharacterized. Lineage: Eukaryota; Metazoa; Chordata; Testudines; Testudinidae. The record is from RefSeq and is a predicted model, not a curated record.
CACCCAAUGUCAGACUUGGUUUGCUCCUAAUGAUCUCACUAGCAGGAUGCCACAGUCUUCAAAUUUCCCAUGUAGUUAAAAUUCAAUGAAAUCUUGUGUAUAGGUUAAAUUUGAAUAUGUUAUGUUUGGAUUAACAGUCACUUUCCUCAUUAUGCUUCAUAAUAGAAAGUUCCUCAUUUAGCAAAGGCUGUGAAGGGGUGUCAGUCAAUGGUAAAAUGAUAGAGUGGGGGUGGGCAAAGUUUGGUCUGUCGGCCACUUUAAGCUGGCCCGCAAGCUCCUGUUGGAGAGCGAGUCUGCGGUUUGCCCCACUCCGGUGCUCCAGUCCAGCCAUGGGCACCGGAUCAGGGACCACACCAUGUGGAUUAGCCCUGCUCCAACACUCCAGGCGGGGAUCCGGGUUGGGGGCUGCACCACGCAGCUCCUGGAAGCAGCUGCAUGGUCACACUCCGGCACUCUAGCAGGGUCAGGGGCUUCUCCAUGCAUAGGAGAUGGAGAAGGAACAUGCCACUGCAUCCGGGAGCCAUUUGAGAUUCGUUUCAAGCCUGGCUCUGCUGGAAGCUGGAUGGGUUAGUGUGGAUGGGCACAGAGGGGCAGUGACACUCCAGCGCUUGAUGGGAGGAAGAAGGGUAAUCACCUGGAUGAACUGGAGGGGGCAGGGAACACAGGGAGGUGAAUCAGGGUGGAAUAGGACACACUGGAUCUCACCCUGUCUCCUUUCUGAGUCUGUCUCUUUCUGUCUCCUUUUCUUAGAGGUUCCUUUCCCAGCUGCUGCUCUUGGAUUCUGAAUCCAUGCUGGCUGAAGAUAACAUGAGGGAAGGAUCCACUUUUGGACCUUAGUUGCUCCCCUCAGGCCCACCAUUCCUUCCUUCCAGAGCACAUGCUGUCUGGGUAGCUCUUUGGCAUCGGACCCUGGCCAGUCGCAAGUGGGCAUCAUCUGGAGAGUGGUCAUGGAAGGCAAUGCCCUGGGUUGUUUUGGGCUGAAGUUGGAUUGGAUUGGAAUGUUCAGUGGCCUUGGAUGCUAGCUCUGGACGGAGACAAAGGAGCGAGCAUUGAAAUGAGGGGAACAGGCACAGGAGUUACAGACACUCAGCCUGUCAUUUGGAACAACUCAAAACAAAGUGCCCAGUAUAUAUGCACUUGAAACCCUUCAACUCCUUUUGUCUUGUGCUCCAAACUGGAAACUGGGACAAGGGGGUUGUAACUUGUGCAGUCAGUUGAACACAACCACCCACCACCUAUGCCAUUACCUUUCAGUCUGGUCCGAUAGUGCCCCCUUCUUAUGCAGUCCUGCACCUCUGUCAAUACCCCUCAAUCCUCACCUGCUGCCCUACAGCUCUGCCCAUGCUCCUCAAGUCUGACCUUACAGAAAUCCUAAUGCCCCUGUUGUUCUCUUAUCUAUAUGAACGAUGUUUUAGUUUCUGUGUUUAAGGACAAAUUUGGUAAUUAAAAAGAUGGGUAAUUGAUUUGUCUUGUAGAGUUAGAU